CCUACGGGUGGCUGCAGUGGGGGAUAUUGCACAAUGGGGGAAACCCUGAUGCAGCGACGCCGCGUGUGGGAAGACGGUCCUCUGGAUUGUAAACCACUGUCCCCAGGGACGAAGAUGACGGUACCUGGGGUGGAAGCUCCGGCUAACUACGUGCCAGCAGCCGCGGUAAUACGUAGGGAGGGAGCGUUGUCCGGAAUUACCGGGUGUAAAGGGAGCGUAGGCGGGGAUGCAAGGUGGGUGUCAAAACUACCGGCUCAACUGGUAGUCGCACUCAAAACUGCAGCCCUUGAGUGAAGUAGAGGCAGGCGGAAUUCCUAGUGUAGCGGUGAAAUGCGUAGAUAUUAGGAGGAACACCAGUGGCGAAGGCGGCCUGCUGGGCUGUUACUGACGCUGAGGCUCGAAAGUGUGGGGAGCAAACAGGAUUAGAUACCCUUGUAGUC
RNAcentral lists this ribosomal RNA (440 nucleotides) under uncultured bacterium. Its description in RNAcentral is "partial 16S ribosomal RNA". It matches the Rfam family "Bacterial small subunit ribosomal RNA", at positions 338 to 795 of the family's 1533-position model. The record is from RNAcentral.